GAAAGAGUCAGAAAGUAAAUUAGGUGUGGCAGAUACUGUAAUUCACAUUACUACAUCCAGAAAAGGUCCGCAAACGUGGGUUCACUCCGGGUUCCCCGGCUUCCUCCCACAGUACCAACACAUGCAGACCGGGGUUGAGUUAAUUGGAGACUUUUCCAAUUGACAAAGGGUGUGAUUGUGAGAGCACUGCGCCUCUUAACCAAAGUCAGCUGGGAUUGGGAUUGGAUGAGUUUUAAAAAUUAAAAUGUAGUAGUGCGGAUGUAGACAAAAAUUAAGAAGAAAUUAAGAUUAUGAGCUCCUUAUAUCUACAUCAGGAAAGCGUGUCCGCUUCCACCGAGUCCGAGUCCACCAUGUUGUACCGCCAGGUUUCUACGGUAGCCCAGAACAGACCUUCUACCUGAAGGGCACCGGAGGUUCUCCUAUACUUUUGGAAGGAGAAAGUGAGGUGACAGGUAUUCACCACUAGAUGCCACACAAUCCUACACACUGAACCUCAGCUUUUUCGGCACAGAGAACUAAUUUUAAGCGGGAAAAAUGUCACUGGCCUCCAAGCAGCCGAUAUGAACUGAGCGAUAACAAGACAGAAGUUACUCCCAGGAGGGAUAAAAUAAGUUCUAACUCCAACAAACUCAAUGUAAAACGAAAACAUAUUUUGAUGAUGACACACCAUUCAUUCAAUUUCCCUCGAAUUAAACACUUCUCCCCGCUGAGGCCAAAACGUUUUCACCACCAGACCUCUGAAGGGCAUCGACUCUCCGAAAUGGCUGCGCUGAAUGUGCAAUGACCGCGGCUGCUGCUGCGUAUGCAAACCGACCAAUCAGCAGGCGCUCAGCACGGCACACAAUUACGCCGGUUUGAUUUGCUCACUGGUGUUGCAGAAAAUGUAAUGGAUCUUGCAUCACCAUCUAUCUCAAUUAACACUUUGACUGAGGACGGCUAAAUUGGAUGUCACAUGCCGCCAUUAGAAGGCGCUUAGCUUUCAAACACUGCACAAACAGCCGCGGCUCGUGAGAUGGCAUGUGACAGUCGCAGGUCAAAGAUCGACCGCAUAUCUGGAGCAAAUAAUUACGUCUGAUUACAUUUCAUACACAACAUCUUUUCCCCGCCCCGUGAAUUAGAAGAUCAGUGGGCUUUCAGACGGCGUGGCACGCGGCUCAUCUUUGAUUGAUGAGGCCUUCUCCCUGUCACCGGCACGCACACGUCAUAAAAUCUAACCGUUUCUGAUGCAGACCCAGAUACAUAACAUCUGCUUGAAGCUUCAGUGCUGCGGCUAAUCUCUCACACUCUUAUUGUGCGAUUUACUCUCGGUCUUCCUCUCUGCUCCACCAUCCUCCUCUUCUCCCUGUUCCCCACCUCUCCUUCUCUCUCUGGUGGCCCGUGAGCCCCGAGGUUUGGAGGUCUGGAUAACCAGCCAUGUCUAAUAGUACACAGCCCACUCAUACUGCAGGGUGGGCAACUUCAAAAGAACAUCACCAGCACCCCAGAGAUCUCCAGUCUCAGCCACGCUGGUCUCAGAGCUCUGCCUCUGCUGAAUCACUAUCAAACAGCCCAGCGAGCCUUCGGAGCCUCGCGAGUGAUGCAACCGAGAUACAAGCAGGCGCGUGUGCCUGGUGUGUCACCGUGUAACAGGAGCGAUGCUUCCCUUUGACCAGCUCGUCCCACAGGACGAUGUCGGCGGAAUCCGAGUCCGUCCUCGGACCAAGUCUCUCAAACAGAGAGAUCUCAACCGAGGCACGUGACACCGAUGAUUCAUCGUUGGACUGAUCCGCGUUCAUCCGGUUGCACCUUGUGCACGUUGUGCAGCAGCACUACGUCGGUGGCCCAGAGGUCUUUGGGCGCGACUGUGCUGUUUUGCAGUCGGUGUGUGUGCGUGAGGGACAUGUCCUCUCCGUCCCGCAGCCCAACGGUUCCUCCUUUGCUCAGGGUCAGAUACUGGCCCGAACUCUGCAGGUACAACACCUGAGGAGACCAGAGGACGUUAGAGAACAACAAUGUAUUUUGCACUAUCGAGAAGAAAAAGAAAAAAAAAAGACCCCAGAACAGCUUCAACGCUCUUUGUAAAGCAGUUUGUGACAUUUUUAGUGUAAAGUCAAACGGAGACUUUCAUCUAUCUUGUGUCUUCCUCUCCCUCCCGGCUGCUCUUUUGCCAUAAAACUAUAUACACUACAAUAACUCCUCCUCCUCCUCCUCCCUCAAUAUUAUUUUAGGUGAAUAGACAUUAGCAGGCCACGUUCAGAACAAAACAGAACGCUGUAGAAACUAGGCCAGAGCUGACGGUGUCAGGUGACAAGUAGAUGGCUGAUGUCUUUGACGAAAAGAUAGGGUGGGGGAAUAUUACAUAGAACCGAGAUCAAGUUUUAGAAAAAAAAAACGUAUCCAAUGUAAUAACUGCAGACGGAGUCAUUUUCCCACAGUCACCUGCAAGCUUUGUACGAUCUCUCUUGAAUUGUUGCGUCGACUGUCAGUGACUGAUACGAUAAGUUUCUGUUGUGUAUUUCUACACCUGCUGUAAAAAAAAAUCUCACUGACGUCUCUUUAUUAAUUGUCAAAUGCUAACAAACUGUCAGAUGCUCAAAAUAUACAAUGGGAGCAGUAGAUCCCCAAAUAGCUCACAACAUGGAAGCCGGAGUGUAUAUUUCAGCUAUUCAGGAAGAACAAUGAAGCAAACUCAGCGUGUGGAGAACCGAAACCAGCAAACUGGAGGUGGGGCAAGACUCCGUGACAGAAAAGGAACAAGCCGUGACAAAAUGUUGACAUUGAAUCGCAUUUUUUUAAAGCCGCUAUGACUAACGUGUAAGAUAAUUGUUUGUUAAAAAUUUGGCCAAACACAGAGAAAUGA
Molecule: long non-coding RNA, 2839 nt
Organism: Scophthalmus maximus (turbot)
Lineage: Eukaryota; Metazoa; Chordata; Actinopteri; Pleuronectiformes; Scophthalmidae
Exons: 4
Source: RefSeq, a predicted model, not a curated record